GCUUCGGUGGUUUAGUGGUUAGAGCGUCCGCCUCGGAUGCGGAAGGUCGUGGGUUCGAUCUCAAGUCGAGCCA
This is a non-coding RNA of Potamilus streckersoni, 73 nucleotides long. Lineage: Eukaryota; Metazoa; Mollusca; Bivalvia; Unionida; Unionidae. The record is from the annotation of a GenBank genome assembly.